RNAcentral lists this ribosomal RNA (349 nucleotides) under uncultured bacterium. RNAcentral's name for it is "bacterial SSU rRNA". It matches the Rfam family "Bacterial small subunit ribosomal RNA", at positions 8 to 349 of the family's 1533-position model. The record is from RNAcentral.
AGAGUUUGAUCCUGGCUCAGGAUGAACGCUAGCUACAGGCUUAACACAUGCAAGUCGAGGGGAAACGAUAUUGGAAGCUUGCUUCCGAUAGGCGUCGACCGGCGCACGGGUGAGUAACGCGUAUCCAACCUGCCCACCACUUGGGGAUAACCUUGCGAAAGUAAGACUAAUACCCAAUGAUAUCUCUAGAAGACAUCUGAAAGAGAUUAAAGAUUUAUCGGUGAUGGAUGGGGAUGCGUCUGAUUAGCUUGUUGGCGGGGUAACGCCCACAAGGCGACGAUCAGUAGGGGUUCUGAGAGGAAGGUCCCCCANAUUGGAACUGAGACACGGUCCAACUCCUACGGGAGCA